UACGGAGGAUGCAAGCGUUGUCCGGAAUUAUUGGGCGUAAAGAGCUUGUAGGCGGUCUGUCGCGUCUGCUGUGAAAAUCCGGGGCUCAACCCCGGACUUGCAGUGGGUACGGGCAGACUAGAGUGUGGUAGGGGAGACUGGAAUUCCUGGUGUAGCGGUGAAAUGCGCAGAUAUCAGGAGGAACACCGAUGGCGAAGGCAGGUCUCUGGGCCACUACUGACGCUGAGAAGCGAAAGCAUGGGGAGCGAACAGG
RNAcentral lists this ribosomal RNA (253 nucleotides) under uncultured bacterium. RNAcentral's name for it is "partial 16S ribosomal RNA". It matches the Rfam family "Bacterial small subunit ribosomal RNA", at positions 524 to 776 of the family's 1533-position model. The record is from RNAcentral.